UCUUCCGCAAUGGACGAAAGUCUGACGGAGCAACGCCGCGCGAGUGAUGAAGGUUUUCGGAUCGUAAAACUCUGUUGUUAGGGAAGAACAAGUACCGUUCGAAUAGGGAGGUACCUUGCCGGUACCUAACCAGAAAGCCACGGCUAACUACGUGCCAGCAGCCGCGGUACUACGUAGGUGGUAAGCGUUCUCCGGAAUUAUUGGGCGUAAAGCGCGCGCAGGCGGUUUCUUAAGUCUGAUGUGAAAGCCCCCGGCUCAACCGGGGAGGGUCAUUGGAAACUCGGGAACUUGAGUGCAGAAGAGGAGAGUGGAAUUCCACGUGUAGCGGUGAAAUGCGUAGAGAUGUGGAGGAACGCCAGUGGCGAAGGCGACUCUCUGGUCUGUAACUGACGCUGAGGCGCGAAAGCGUGGGGAGCGAACAG
RNAcentral lists this ribosomal RNA (422 nucleotides) under uncultured bacterium. RNAcentral's name for it is "bacterial SSU rRNA". It matches the Rfam family "Bacterial small subunit ribosomal RNA", at positions 362 to 775 of the family's 1533-position model. The record is from RNAcentral.